This 75-nucleotide transfer RNA is filed under the name Rhodobacteraceae bacterium HLUCCO18. Its description in RNAcentral is "tRNA-Lys". It matches the Rfam family "tRNA". Rfam says of the family: Transfer RNA (tRNA) molecules are approximately 80 nucleotides in length. Their secondary structure includes four short double-helical elements and three loops (D, anti-codon, and T loops). Lineage: Bacteria; Pseudomonadati; Pseudomonadota; Alphaproteobacteria; Rhodobacterales; Paracoccaceae. RNAcentral also lists the same sequence under 13 other names. The record is from RNAcentral.
GGGCCCGUAGCUCAGUGGUAGAGCAGUUGACUUUUAAUCAAUUGGUCGAAGGUUCGAAUCCUUCCGGGCUCACCA